RNAcentral lists this ribosomal RNA (497 nucleotides) under uncultured bacterium. Its description in RNAcentral is "partial 16S ribosomal RNA". It matches the Rfam family "Bacterial small subunit ribosomal RNA", at positions 28 to 507 of the family's 1533-position model. The record is from RNAcentral.
GAUGAACGCUGGCGGCGUGCCUAAUACAUGCAAGUCGAGCGAACAGACGAGGAGCUUGCUCCUCUGACGUUAGCGGCGGACGGGUGAGUAACACGUGGAUACCCUACCUAUAAGACUGGGAUCACUUCGGGAAACCGGAGCUAAUACCGGAUAAUAUAUUGCACCGCAUGGUUCAAUAGUGAAAGUCGGUUUUGCUGUCACUUAUAGAUGGAUCCGCGCCGCAUUAGCUAGUUGGUAAGGUAACGGCUUACCAAGGCAACGAUGCGUAGCCGACCUGAGAGGGUGAUCGGCCACACUGGAACUGAGACACGGUCCAGACUCCUACGGGAGGCAGCAGUAGGGAAUCUUCCGCAAUGGGCGAAAGCCUGACGGAGCAACGCCGCGUGAGUGAUGAAGGUCUUCGGAUCGUAAAACUCUGUUAUUAGGGAAGAACAAAUGUGUAAGUAACUAUGCACGUCUUGACGGUACCUAAUCAGAAAGCCACGGCUAACUACGUG